GCGAGUGAAGCGGCAAAAGCUCAAAUUUGAAACCCUCGGGAUUGUAAUUUGAAGAUUUGGCAUUGGAGAAAGCUAACCCAAGUUGCUUGGAAUAGUACGUCAUAGAGGGUGACAACCCCGUCUGGCUAACCGUCUUCUCCAUGUAUUGCCUUAUCAAAGAGUCGAGUUGUUUGGGAAUGCAAAGCUCAAAGUGGGGGUGGUAAACUCCAUCUAAAGCUAAAUACUGGUGAGAGACCGAUAGCGAACAAGUACUGUGAAGGAAAGGUGAAAAGAACUUUGAAAAGAGAGUGAAAUAGUAUGGGUGAAAUUGAAUUGAUAGGGGGAAGGAAAUGAGUGGAGAGUGGCCGAGGUUUCAGCCGCCCCUCGUGGGCGGUGUACUGCCGACGCCGAGUCAUCGAUAGCAGCUGAGACGAGGGUUACAAAUGGGAGCGCCUUCGGGCGUUCUCCCCUAACCCUCCACACUGCCACCGACGACAUAAUCCACCCAUUUCACCCGUCUUGAAACACGGACCA
Molecule: ribosomal RNA, 513 nt
Filed under: Yarrowia sp. 11p-1
Lineage: Eukaryota; Fungi; Ascomycota; Dipodascomycetes; Dipodascales
Description: eukaryotic LSU rRNA
Rfam family: Eukaryotic large subunit ribosomal RNA
Source: RNAcentral